RNAcentral lists this ribosomal RNA (220 nucleotides) under uncultured bacterium. Its description in RNAcentral is "partial 16S ribosomal RNA". It matches the Rfam family "Bacterial small subunit ribosomal RNA", at positions 794 to 1012 of the family's 1533-position model. The record is from RNAcentral.
UCCACGCCGUAAACGAUGAUAACUAGCUGUUGGGGCUCUUGGAGCUCCAGUGGCGCAGCUAACGCAUUAAGUUAUCCGCCUGGGGAGUACGGCCGCAAGGUUAAAACUCAAAGGAAUUGACGGGGGCCUGCACAAGCGGUGGAGCAUGUGGUUUAAUUCGAAGCAACGCGCAGAACCUUACCAGCGUUUGACAUGCCUGGACGGUUUCCAGAGAUGGAUU